AUGUGGUCCCUUAAGCACUGUUGAGUGGUUCCUGAGCACAGAGUCAGUGUGUGCGAUGGCUGCAGAGAGUUAACAGCCACCCUGGUUGCAUCCACAGCCUGUUGCUUGUAUGGGCAGUUCUAAGGCACCUUGAGAUAGUC
Small nucleolar RNA from Sorex fumeus (smoky shrew), 140 nucleotides. RefSeq annotates it as small nucleolar RNA SNORA70. The record is from RefSeq and is a predicted model, not a curated record. The transcript has a single exon. Lineage: Eukaryota; Metazoa; Chordata; Mammalia; Eulipotyphla; Soricidae.